This 416-nucleotide ribosomal RNA is filed under the name Leptographium pityophilum. Its description in RNAcentral is "eukaryotic LSU rRNA". It matches the Rfam family "Eukaryotic large subunit ribosomal RNA", at positions 1 to 419 of the family's 3401-position model. The record is from RNAcentral. Lineage: Eukaryota; Fungi; Ascomycota; Sordariomycetes; Ophiostomatales; Ophiostomataceae.
UUGACCUCGGAUCAGGUAGGAUUACCCGCUGAACUUAAGCAUAUCAAUAAGCGGAGGAAAAGAAACCAACAGGGAUUGCCUCAGUAACGGCGAGUGAAGCGGCAACAGCUCAGAUUUGGAAUCUGGUCCCCAGGGCCCGAGUUGUAAUCUGGAGAGGAUGCUUCUGGCGCGGCGCCUUCCGAGUUCCCUGGAACGGGACGCCGGAGAGGGUGAGAGCCCCGUACGGUUGACCCCUAGCCUGUGUGAAGCUCCUUCGACGAGUCGAGUAGUUUGGGAAUGCUGCUCAAAAUGGGAGGUAAAUUUCUUCUAAAGCUAAAUACCGGCCAGAGACCGAUAGCGCACAAGUAGAGUGAUCGAAAGAUGAAAAGCACUUUGAAAAGAGGGUCAAACAGUACGUGAAAUUGUUAAAAGGGAAG